GCCCUCUAUCUACUCUCAAAAUUUCAUGUUAAUCGGAGUACGUUUGGACAUUGAAAAAUGGAUCGGAAUACACUGCCCUCAUUUUGGACGAAAAUUCUAAUUAGUAUAGAGCAUGAAAUAUGGACUAGGUUCAUUCUUUUGGUUAAAUCCAUCUCAACCCUUAGAUCAAAUGUGUAAAAAUAAAUCCUAACCAUUCAUUCUCUUAUAAAUAGAGCCUUAGCUAAAUUCACUUUCACUUAAGUUUUAACAAUCUUAGAACAAGUAAAAUUGUUUGCUCCUCCUUUCAUUUUACUUCUUAGUUCUAGUCAAAUACCAUAUAGCCUAGAUCUUUCUUGUAGUGUUCAAGUGUUUUUCUAAACUAGCUACCUAGAGAAGAUUUGGUGGAGUUUUACUUCUAAGGAUUUUUGGAAGUGGAGCAGAAUACUACACUAAGGAGAAUCUUGAUGCAGGGAUAGAAAGUGAGGACGAUGGUCCUUUUACUAGUUUUGAUGGUUGAUAGACCAUCUGCUGCAGGAUUUAUGCUUACUCUAUGGAGCAAGUCUCAUUUAUAUUAAUCGCUUUUAUUAUGUAUGGUGAUGUGUGUAAACUGAAUAGAUAUUACUAUGUUAAUUUAGGUGCCGUCUGUGGCAUAUAUUUGGUACACCUAGUGUAUACAUAUGUUGUAAUGAAAACCAUGUUUCUAUUUUAUUUAAUAAUAUAUCAUCUCGAGGUAUUUCAGUCAGCUCAACUGUAUUGUGUAAGUUAUUCCUAGGUCAUAGAAAAAGAAAAAAAUAUACAUAAUCCGCUGUAAGAUUGUA
Non-coding RNA from Corylus avellana, 797 nucleotides. Lineage: Eukaryota; Viridiplantae; Streptophyta; Magnoliopsida; Fagales; Betulaceae. The record is from RefSeq and is a predicted model, not a curated record.